Molecule: unclassified non-coding RNA, 600 nt
Filed under: uncultured Tomentella
Lineage: Eukaryota; Fungi; Basidiomycota; Agaricomycetes; Thelephorales; Thelephoraceae
Description: sequence contains 18S rRNA gene, ITS1, 5.8S rRNA gene and ITS2
Rfam family: 5.8S ribosomal RNA (bases 185-339)
Source: RNAcentral
GUUGUUUGCUGGUCCCUCAAACGGGGACAUGUGCACGCUCUGUUUCACAUCCACUCACACCUGUGCACCCUCCGUAGUUCUGUGGUCUGGGGGACCCUGUCUUCCUGCCGUGGUUCUACGUCUUUACACACACACUGUAAUAAAGUCUUAUGGAAUGUAUGCCGCGUCUAACGCAAUACAAUACAACUUUCAGCAACGGAUCUCUUGGCUCUCGCAUCGAUGAAGAACGCAGCGAAAUGCGAUAAGUAAUGUGAAUUGCAGAAUUCAGUGAAUCAUCGAAUCUUUGAACGCACCUUGCGCCCCUUGGCUAUUCCGAGGGGCAUGCCUGUUUGAGUAUCAUGAACACCUCAACUCUCAUGGUUUGCCGUGAUGAGCUUGGACUCUGGGGGUUUUGCUGGCCUGCGGUCGGCUCCCCUCAAAUGAAUCAGCCUCCCAGUGUUUGGUGGCAUCACGGGUGUGAUAAAUAUCUACGCUCGCAGUUGUCCGCCAGGUAACCUUUGGUAACAAAGGUUCGCUGGAGCUCACAGAUGUCUCUCCUCAGCGAGGACAGCUUUUUGAACGUUCGAUCUCAAAUCAGGUAGGACUACCCGCUGAACUUAA